CAACAACAACAACAACAACAAAACCAACAACAACAACAACAACAACAACAACAACAACAACAACAAUAACAANNNNNNNNNNGACAAACACGAUGACGACGACGACGACAACAACAACAACAACAACAACAACAACAAGAACAAGAACAACAACAACAACAACCACAAUAACAACAACAACGACAGCAACAACAACAUCAACAAUCACGACGAUGACGAAGAUGACAACGAUGACAAUGACGACGACA
This 248-nucleotide long non-coding RNA is filed under the name Hordeum vulgare. Its description in RNAcentral is "long non-coding RNA (HVUL_LNC021615)". Lineage: Eukaryota; Viridiplantae; Streptophyta; Magnoliopsida; Poales; Poaceae. The record is from RNAcentral.